UUUUAUCCUGUAUAUCAAAUACGAUUGCUUUUAAUUAUAUUAAACUCUGCGUAACAACAAAAAAAAACUUUCUUUUAAAAAUUUAGGAGAGCCUGAUACAAUAUGGGCAAUUCUCCAUUCACUUGUGUGAAAGUCACAUUGUAAUUCUGUUGCUAUUCUUAGGUGCAAGAGUAGAUAAUAAUCAAGACUUUAUAAAGUACAGGAUAUAUUAUGGUAUGGUAUGUUUAGCUUUAUCUGCAAACAUGUUAUAGUUUUUCACUGUAUCUAUGGAGAUAAAACAGAUGAAGAUUUUGUGAAUUGCUUCCGAAAUAAAGUUCUUCUCGCAAGAGCUAAACAUCAACUUAUAAGAGGCCGUAGAGACUGGAGUCUGCGUCACUGGCGUCAUCGUUUCAGGCUUUGCAAGUUUUUUGGGAGAUUGUUUAUUGUUUUUCCAGGAUUUGCAUUGAACGAAUGGCCAACGUUCAUAACGAGGAUAAUCGAUGAUGAACAAGAUGUAUAAACUAUUUCCAGCCUUGUUGUUUUCUAGCCUAUAUGUGCUUCUUUGAAAGUGUUUUAAUAUUCAUUGUAGAUAUCGCUUUGAGUUGCAAUAAGUAACCGAGUGGUUGAUUUUAUAUCUGGUUUGUUCGCUCCAUGAUAAUU
Molecule: long non-coding RNA, 639 nt
Organism: Xenia sp. Carnegie-2017
Lineage: Eukaryota; Metazoa; Cnidaria; Anthozoa; Malacalcyonacea; Xeniidae
Exons: 3
Source: RefSeq, a predicted model, not a curated record